This 253-nucleotide ribosomal RNA is filed under the name uncultured bacterium. Its description in RNAcentral is "partial 16S ribosomal RNA". It matches the Rfam family "Bacterial small subunit ribosomal RNA", at positions 524 to 776 of the family's 1533-position model. The record is from RNAcentral.
UACGGAGGGUGCAAGCGUUGUCCGGAUUUAUUGGGUUUAAAGGGUGCGUAGGCGGCCCGUUAAGUCAGUGGUGAAAGCCUCCAGCUCAACUGGAGAACUGCCAUUGAUACUGGCGGGCUUGAGUACAGACGAGGUAGGCGGAAUUGAUUGUGUAGCGGUGAAAUGCAUAGAUACAAUCAAGAACACCGAUUGCGUAGGCAGCUACCUGGACAGAGUCUGACGCUGAGGCACGAAAGCUAGGGGAGCAAACAGG